This 274-nucleotide ribosomal RNA is filed under the name uncultured bacterium. Its description in RNAcentral is "partial 16S ribosomal RNA". It matches the Rfam family "Bacterial small subunit ribosomal RNA", at positions 523 to 796 of the family's 1533-position model. The record is from RNAcentral.
AUACGGAGGGUGCAAGCGUUAUCCGGAUUCAUUGGGUUUAAAGGGUGCGCGGGCGGAUAUUUAAGUCAGUGGUGAAAUCCCGGGGCUCAACCUCGGAACUGCCAUUGAUACUGAAUAUCUGGAAUACGGUUGAAGUGGGCGGAAUGUAGCAUGUAGCGGUGAAAUGCAUAGAGAUGCUACAGAACACCGAUCGCGAAGGCAGCUCACUAAGCCGAUAUUGACGCUCAGGCACGAAAGCGUGGGGAGCGAACAGGAUUAGAAACCCCAGUAGUCC